UGGGCUAGACAACGGCGGUCCCCGAAGGGAAAAUCCUAUUUCUAGGACUGUCCGCCGUUGUCUAGCCCAGGUAAGGUUCUUCGCGUUGCGUCGAAUUGAACCACAUGCUCCACCGCUUGUGCGGGCCCCCGUCAAUUCCUUUGAGUUUUAGCCUUGCGGCCGUACUCCCCAGGCGGGGCGCUUAAUGCGUUAGCUUCGGCACGGACGGGGUCGAUAUCCGCCCACACCUAGCACCCAACGCUUACGGCUAGGACUAC
This 257-nucleotide unclassified non-coding RNA is filed under the name uncultured bacterium. RNAcentral's name for it is "contains 16S-23S intergenic spacer region". The record is from RNAcentral.